CAACCCCCACGCCGUUUUCACGUUCUUCAUACAAACAAACCACGAACCACAGCACAACGAGCAAGAGAUAGGAUUUUUAUUUGUUUAUUUAUUUAUUAUUAGCUUUCAGUAUAAAAGGGCCGAUUGUAAACUGAUUUUGGGGGGGGAGACAAAUUUUGUAUUGAAAAAAAUUAAAGAAAAUAAAAAAGAAAAACAGAAAAGCAAGGAUUUUGGAGGUGAC
RNAcentral lists this long non-coding RNA (220 nucleotides) under Gossypium raimondii (Peruvian cotton). RNAcentral describes it as "long non-coding RNA (GRAI_LNC006181)". Lineage: Eukaryota; Viridiplantae; Streptophyta; Magnoliopsida; Malvales; Malvaceae. The record is from RNAcentral.